UACGUAGGGGGCUAGCGUUGUCCGGAAUCAUUGGGCGUAAAGAGCGUGUAGGCGGCCAGGUAGGUCUGCUGUGAAAACUCGAGGCUCAACCUCGAGACGUCGGCGGAAACCAUCUGGCUAGAGUCCGGAAGAGGAGAGUGGAAUUCCUGGUGUAGCGGUGAAAUGCGCAGAUAUCAGGAAGAACACCCGUGGCGAAGGCGGCUCUCUGGGACGGUACUGACGCUGAGGAGCGAAAGCGUGGGGAGCGAACAGG
This 253-nucleotide ribosomal RNA is filed under the name uncultured bacterium. Its description in RNAcentral is "partial 16S ribosomal RNA". It matches the Rfam family "Bacterial small subunit ribosomal RNA", at positions 524 to 776 of the family's 1533-position model. The record is from RNAcentral.